GUAUUUUCUAUAAAAAUCAUGAACUGGUAGACUAUCUGAUUGAUGAUGAUAGGAUGCUAGAACAUGAUUUUGAACCCUCUUUAUAGCGUAGACGAUAAUCGGUAACCUAUGCUACGAAGUGGUAUUUAUGAGAGGCGUAAAUAUUUGUGCGUACCUAGUAGACACUAUGCAUGCCGCCUGGGGCGAGGAUCUGGUGUUGGCAUGUAGGCCGGGAGAAAUAAUCCCUAGCGAAAGGCUGAGGGACACGGAGACUGGCAUUGGGCCCGGGAGGGAGUUAUCUCUGGCUACGGGCACAGAGACUGAGGUGCGGGCAUUGGGCCGGGAGUUAUAUUUAUUCGGUGAUCUUACUAGCAGCACACCGCGUUUACGAGACGAUUUUACGAGAUGUUUUACGCGAUGAUUUAUAUGAUGUUUUCCGCGUUAUGGCUUUUGAGAUAUUUUUUGGCAUGCUAGGAUUUUUAUUAAAUCCAUCACUUAUUAUGCUAGUAGUUUUCAUUUAUAUAAACUUUGGGGGUUAGUAUCUUGAUAACUGUUUUAUUAUUAUUGUAUAUAAACUUGGUCCACUCACCUUUGUUUUGCGCCCCCAUUCAGGACUUAGAAUCAAGGCACCUAAUCCCGACGUGAAGACACUUCCGCAGCAGCAUCUUCGGAUCCUCUCGAUGUAGGACCCACUUCUUUAUUCAUUCAAUUUUAUCUCAAUUCUUUUUAGUGAUUAGGUUUAGUUGUAUGUUCUGAACACGUUCUUAAAAUUAUUAACUCUUAUUUAUUUCUUAUUCUUAGUUUUUGUAUCAAUUAAUGGCUUUCGUCACCCUCGGGUGUCGGCCAGCACGUGUCUAUCCUGGUAUUCGGGGAAUAUCAGGGUCGGGGCGUGUCAGAUUGGAACAUGUUCUUAAAAUUAUUAACUCUUAUUUAUUUCUUAUUCUUAGUUUUUGUAUCAAUUAAUGGCUUUCGUCACCCUCGGGUGUCGGCCAGCACGUGACCAUCCUGAUAUCCCGAAGAUAUCGGGAUCGGGACGUGUCAGAUUGGUAUCAGAGCGUGGUUUGUUCAGAGCAUACUUAGGAUUCUUUUCUAUUCUCUUAAAGUGUUGGUUUUGACAUCAUUUGGAUGUCACGACUUCCGGAUUUUGUGCCAGUCGGCGCAGUUGUGUGAAUCUCUCUCUGAUUGAAUUAUCACCUUUUAGUUGAAAUACAAGAAUUCGUGUCGGGAUUGUGCCUCAACAGUGAUGAAGUGGAUUGUUGGAUGACUUUCGACCUCGGAUCGAUACUCAGACGAUGUGUUUUAGAAAUCUCAAUUUGAAGAAUUCUGGUUAAGACCAGCUGUAGAUUCGAAAUGGCGAUGCCACUCUGCAACAUGCGUUCCCUAGGAAUUGCGGGCGGAGUCGGCUCUACAUCGAAAUCUUGAGAAACUCCUCGGCAGCAGACGCUAUUCUCAUCAAUUUCCAAAAUGAGUUGCAAUUCUUAUUGUUGUUAUAGUUGGACUUGGAUGAUGAAUAUCCAUUCUUGUUUGGAUAAACAGAUUCCUUGAAUUUCACCUGGGUUUGGUACUUGGUGGCAAACUCUAGUUCCUCGUCCGCGUACUUUUCGGGGAAGGUGAACUUAGUCUCUUGCUUACAACCUAAAUGUUCAGCCUUGUAAUUUUCAGUGUAAUGGCUUGAGACUCUAUCAUAUUCAUCAUUGUACGAAGAUCGAACUUUACUCUAAACUUCCCUGGACUCAUUGAGCUUUGGUUUGCUCAAAAGCAUCACUUUAAGGUAGCCAAUUGUGUCACUGCAUGCAUACGCAGGCUGCUUUGUAGCUUUCUUCUUCGUCAUUCUGCUGAUUCAGAGGUUCUAUGUUUAAUUUUUGAACUUUGAAACAGCUCUCACAAAGUAUUGUGAAUCCCGAAAUUUCUUUAGCCUCGUCAAAUUUUAUUAUCAGUCCUUAACUAUUAUUGAGCUUAGUCUUAUUUCCUUUUGACUAAGAAAUCAGUUGACCAUACUGUGAUGAUUUGCAAAAUAAUCAGAAACAGUGACUCUAUUUCUGCAUCUUUACCACCUUCUCGACAUGGCUUCUCGCCUAAUCAGUGAGAAAUCCACGAUCGAUCGUUUCGGUGAAAGUGGGCACCCAGUUCGUGUUGUUUUGGACAAGAAUGUUGGGAGCAUAAUCUUUUCACAAGCUUACCAAACUUAUCAUAAAGAGUUCAUUAUGGGUGUGAAGUUUGAGUUGUCCUUUGGUAGGAGACUGGUGAAGAUUUUGGUGCAGAAGGUCAGCAUAUUGUAUCACCAUCUCACUAGAAUUCAUAGGCAUCACAUCGGUUAUUUUCUAACGAUAUGUGUUCGUCUCAACGCAUAUUUCCACUGCUUCACUUCCGAACCUUAUUGUUGUGAGUACGUGGUUGUUAAAACACUUCUAGCAGAUUUGUUUGGUGCAUUCUGAGAUGGCACUACAGGACGGUCGAAGUGAGAAUUGGAUAAUCUUUACACUUCUCUGGAAAGGUGUGUACUCUCUUUUGUUUUUAGGUUGACCAUUUGCGAGUCGUUCUUCUUUCCACCAACUUUGGCCUUGUUUGACUUGAAAUCUGCAACUAAGCAAAAAUGGAGAGGUGGAUUGAGCACUACAACAGUUCCCAAGAGAUACUGCGUGUUGAGGAAGAUGACUUCUCAUUUUCUGCUUGCUUGGUUCGAGCUUUUGGGUCUACUACUAACAUGGUAGCCACUUCUCUUGAAUCCUAAGGUACAGUUUUCAAAUUGGUUCGUUGUUGGCAAAACACUGGAGUAGUUGGUCACAUUUGGAAGAACUGAGGAGGAUAGGAUGCUUGGUGCUGGAUAGAGUUUUACGACGACAGUUUCUGUUUUGUUCGGUUUUGUGUAUGGCACUUUUUACGACCUGGUACGAUAGUUUUUCAUGGACAACACUGGUUGACUGAAAAGUCUUGCGAACUUGUAUUUGGAGCAUCGAUCCUACGAUAUGUGAAAUUGUACACCAUUUGAGAAAUUACUACUUGCCUAUCGAGACAACAAAUGUGAGGUCGAUAUUGCGGGCUGCAGACUGUGAUAUCGAUAGCUUAUUUGGUGGGUUCGUUAAGCAAGUGGGCAAGAAGAUUCGUCUACAGCAGCUGAUGCAGAUUCAGAAUUUGUAUUUCUUGGGACUCGACCUAAAGGCACAUCUAUUCUCGGAAUAUAUGACAUUUCGAAUUCUUGGGCGAGACCCACUCUCAUUUUUCAGUUUUGGUUUUCAGUGUAAGUAUUUUAACUUCAUUUACUCUAGUUAAUUAUUUUGACGUUACAAAUGUUUUUGGAAAAGUAUUUCUGUUUUCAUUUUUAAGUUGAUUCGAGUUUUUGAACUAUAUGUCAGUACAUAUCUAUUUUGACGUUAUCUGGCCUUAAGCUAUUUUGUGUUUUCAACUUUAUAUUUUAUUAAAGUAUGUGUUCUAUUUUUACACUGAUGAAAAAAAAAAAAAAAAAAAAAAAGUUUGAGCCUGGAGGCACGAAAGAUGGAAUCAUUGCAGCCGAUCGCGACGGCGUGGCAUUUUCCCUUUUGUGAAACCGCUCUUACCUGAUCUCUUCGUUACAUAUAUAUAUAUUAUUCUUCUUCCUAUUUUCAAGUAUUUUCGGUGUAGUAUGUUGUUUUAAAUUUCGAGGACGAAAUUUUUUUAUAAGGGUGGUAGAUUAAAACACCCCAACCCUCUUUUAUAUUUUAAAAUUGUUUUAAAGCCUUAAUUGGUGAGCCCGUGGAGCCCACCUUGUUUAUUUUUUUAUGUUUUCUGAUCUCUCUCUUCCUUCUUCUUCGUCUCUCUCCCCCGUAACUCUCCCUUAGCUCUCUCCUUCUCAGCUCUCCCGUCUCUCUCUCCCUCAACCUCUCGCAUCUCUCUCUUCCCCUGGACUCACUAGGACCGAGUCACCAUCGAAGAGAGGCUCGCAACGAACCCCGGACCCUGCCCUGCGAGUUCGACGGCACGGAGUAAGCUUCGGCAAGCACCGCCCCUUUCGAGGCCAUUUCCGGCCAAACCACGGCGAGUUGGUCGGCGUGUAAGGUAUCAAUCUCUUCGUCUCCUUGAGUACUACAACUUUCCUUUUUGUUUCACUCAAUUUCGUUGAAUAUUGAAGAAGUUAUACUCAUUUGAAUCUUACCCAGUUUCCGGCGAGUCCGACGGCUUUCGAGGCAUUUUCCGGCCAAACCACGGCGAGUUAGACGUCGUGUGAGGUACCAUUCUCUUCGUCUCUUCAAGGGCUACAACUUUCAUUUUUGUCUUGCUUGAUUUCGUUGAGUAUUGACAAAGUUAUGGCCAUUUAAAGUUGGGUGGUUUUCCGGCCGAAAUUCCGGCCUUCUCCUUCGACAAACCCAGGCCAUCCGGCCUUUCCCUCUCCCUCGGGCCUUAGGCCCGUGUUGCCUUAGCCCAGUACCCUAACCCAUUCAGUUUUUAUUUUUAGUUAUAUGUUUUUAAAACCCAAAGGGCUCGGGCCCUAGUUUUGGUUGGCCUUGGGCCGGUUUUCAACCAAGGGCUUAAAGCCCUGAUUUCUGUUAGGAGGCCUUAGGACCUUGUGUAGUGUGUGUGUGUGUAUGUUUAUAGUAUAUGUAUGUGUUUGGGCUUAAACCCAAACCCCUUUCCUAACCCUAAACCAUUUUAACCCAAAACCUUAGAAAUCCAAACCACCCAUUUUCACCAUAAACCCUUUUAACCUUAGAACCCUAAAAUCAAAACCCAAUAAAUCCUAAUCCUAUUUAACCUAAACCCUAAUCCGGAUUUCAAGCCUAAAACCCGUUAGACCUAAUUUGACCGUUGACAUCCGGUCAACAUUGACUUUAGAGUUGACUUUUCGGGUUUUCGUCCGGGACCCUUCUUAAGGUAAUUCGACGUUCUGAAUCCGUUUCCAACGUCCGUUUUCCCAAAUUCAAUUGCUAUUAUAUAGUUUUAUUAAUUGGACCCUUUAUGUGCUUAGGGGCAAUUAUUGUGACGUUUUCGUCUUCGCUAGUGGCGCAGCUUUUGACGGCGAAGUACUGUGAGUGGACCCCUUCUAAAAUUACAUGAUUUGAUAAUUUAAUUGCAUAAAUGAUUAGCAUGCCUACGAAUUUAUGAUUUGAUUUAUGUGAAGCCUGAUGAUUUAAUAUAUUGAUUAUCGUCUCGUGUUUUUGGUGAGGAAUUAAUUGUUGGCCUAUAUUGAGCUAUAUUUUAAUAUAUCGUAUUUUCUAUAAAAACCAUGAACUGGUAGACUAUCUGAUUGAUGAUGAUAGGAUGCUAGAACAUGAUUUUGAACCCUCUUUAUAGCGUAGAUCGGUAACCUAUGCUACGAAGUGGUAUUUAUGAGAGGCGUAAAUAUUUGUGCGUACCUAGUAGACACUAUGCCGCCUGGGGCGAGGAUCUGGUGUUGGCAUGUAGGCCGGGAGAAAUAAUCCCUAGCGAAAGGCUGAGGGACACGGAGACUGGCAUUGGGCCGGGAGGGAGUUAUCUCUGGCUACGGGCACAGAGACUGAGGUGCGGGCAUUGGGCCCGGAGUUAUAUUUAUUCGGUGAUCUUACUAGCAGCACACCGCGUUUACGAGACGAUUUACGAGAUGUUUUACGCGAUGAUUUAUAUGAUGUUUUCCGCGUUAUGGCUUUUGAGAUAUUUUUGGCAUGCUAGGAUUUUUAUUAAAUCCAUCACUUAUUAUGCUAGUAGUUUUCAUUUAUAUAAACUUUGGGGGUUAGUAUCUUGAUAACUGUUUUAUUAUUAUUGUAUAUAAACUUGGUCCACUCACCUUUGUUUUGCGCCCCCAUUCAGGACUUAGAAUCAAGGCACCUAAUCCCGACGUGAAGACACUUCCGCAGCAGCAUCUUCGGAUCCUCUCGAUGUAGGACCCACUUCUUUAUUCAUUCAAUUUUAUCUCAAUUCUUUUUAGUGAUUAGGUUUAGUUGUAUGUUCUGAACAUGUUCUUAAAAUUAUUAACUCUUAUUUAUUUCUUAUUCUUAGUUUUUGUAUCAAUUAAUGGCUUUCGUCACCCUCGGGUGUCGGCCAGCACGUGUCUAUCCUGGUAUUCGGGGAAUAUCAGGGUUGGGGCGUGUCACAAAACCAGAGUAUACUUACCUAGGUGUUAUUUCCUAUUUGCAUUUUGAUAAGUCUCAUGUUUUAACAAUCAUCCAUCAUCCCACUCAUGGCAUAAUUGUUUGUGGGAUGACACAACUCAUGACACAACUGGAGUCUAAUUCUACAGAACCCAUGACCCUAAACAAUCCAAAAUUAAUAGAUUACAGUGACAACAUUCCAACAAAAGAAAGAAGACCAAAAAAAUUAUCUACUCUAAAGUAAUUUAGUUCCAUCAUGCAUAAAUCAAGGCAGUCACAUGAGGCUAGUAUCUAUGGUAAUCCAACACAUUAACAUAAAGCAUCCAAAUACACACUCAGAGUUACAAAACGCAUGAAAAUUCACAUUCCAACGUGUUAUUCAAUCACCAAUUUCAAAUCCACCAAAACCAAUUAAAUUUAUGUCAGUACGCAUCAAAACCAAACCCAAAAUCAAAAGAAGGUGAUCAAUUGUUUGAUUUUGCUAAAUAUUACAAAAUAAAAUAAAUAAAAUAUGUACAAAUCAGCAUGCAUAC
RNAcentral lists this long non-coding RNA (6550 nucleotides) under Malus domestica (apple). RNAcentral's name for it is "long non-coding RNA (MDOM_LNC004905)". The record is from RNAcentral. Lineage: Eukaryota; Viridiplantae; Streptophyta; Magnoliopsida; Rosales; Rosaceae.